Molecule: long non-coding RNA, 1160 nt
Filed under: Cyanoderma ruficeps (rufous-capped babbler)
Lineage: Eukaryota; Metazoa; Chordata; Aves; Passeriformes; Timaliidae
Description: lncRNA (ENSCRFG00000000110.1)
Source: RNAcentral
GGUAGCCUGGUGUUUGGCUGAACAAGCAAACACAGAAAAUGGUGUGAAGUAUUCUGAACCAGCACAGAGCCUUCAGAGAGUAAUUUGAUAAAGCCACUGCAGGCUUCAAGGACAGCUGGAUACCCUUAUAUUAGCUUCAGCAUAACAUUUCAAGGGAGGGACAGAUGAGCUAGGGGGAGUUGUACAACAUGGGAUGAGAUCUUAGAAUACUCUCUGACUGGUGUUCAUUCAUCCUCAUCAACCACACUUACUCAGCCCUCUUCAUGGAUUCUCUAAUCUCCACCUCCCAAAUAAAUGAAUAGCCCUGACCCCCGUUAGUAGUAAGUCUUCCACCUACCGUGUUGUACAGCUGCGUCUUGAAGUUCUGGAAGAAGUACCUGCUGUCAGCUUGGCUAGAGGGCAGGCCCUUGUAUUUCAUCACAGCAUCAUAGCCAAAAUAUUUGAACUCCUGCUUCUGGUUGAACAAAAUGCCCAUAGGCGUCUUUGAGGUCUUGAAUCCGUGCUUUGUUCCCCAGUAAACCUGGAGGAUUUUGUCAGUACCUGAAGCAAGAGAAAAACAGUACCCACUGUAGGAUGUGCCUAUAGCAAUGAUGAAGACUGACUGGCUGGCCAUGGCCACUGCAGUGCAGCAGUGUGCAGCUCUGGGAACAGAGAGGGACGAACAGAUGGCACUGGACUGAAACUCAAAGGACUGAUAUUACAGAGGGAAGGGCAAUCUCCCCAGAUUUUAUUGGCUGGAGAGAAAUGUGACUCUAGACAUACUGUAAAUUGUACCUUUUCCUGUAAAGAGGCAGGGCUUCCUUCUGGUUUUUGUAACAGAAAAGUGCCUUUGUUAGGGAACUGUCUUAUCAGUAGCUUUGUGCACUCCCAGCAGCAUCGACAGACCCCAGUGCUGCCCACUCAUUUCAACAAGCAUUUUCUGCUGCUGCUGCAAAGGCAUGAAUACAUCAAAUGUUUCUGGCUCCACCAAAGGAAAAAUGUGGAUUAUAGCCAAUGUUUUUGGCUCCAGAAGAACAGAAGUUUUGAAUACACCUGAUAUUUCUGGCUCCAGCAAAGAAGAAGUGUGGGGUACAACCAAUAUUUCUGGCUCCAGAGGAACAGAAUCACGGCAUGCACACAAUGUUUCUGGCAAUAGAGGAACAAAGAUGGAUGGACAAUGA